GUUCAGACAAGCUAUAAUCGCACUAGGAGGGUCGGAACAUCAGUUAUUCAUCGGUCAUUUGAAUCCCACUACUUUUAUUUCGUUUAUGAACGAACAUGAAGAUAUGAAAAAGAGUCUGUUUGCUAUAUUACAACGUGUUUUACAGAUGGCCCUGAAACAGUUUCAGUUUAUACGACGCAGUUGUCGUUCACCUGGUAAUGAGGAACAAUUGAUGUCCGACAUUCGAUGUUCUGCCACCUGUUACCCAUGUUGCACGUUGAAAUGGAGAAAGUCCGAUAUCCUUGUCAACCACAACAGUGUUCUGUCACUAGGCUCCCUCCAGAAGGGCGAAGAGGGACGCUACGCUUGCACUGCAUCAAAUCCGGAGUUGAAUGUAACCACCGAAAGUCCGAUUGUCGUCAUUGUGAUAAGAAAAUUAAGAUGUACAUGCAUGCAGACCCGCGCAAUACCAAUGUCAAUACACUUAUCAAGAUGCAUACGCUAAUCAGGCAUACAGCAGAACCACUGGAUUUGAAAAUUACCAGCAUUUUGGAACUGAAAAUAGUCAGCCCAUUUAUGAACGAAUAGGUAAAGGCAUCUAAAGUUGACAAUGACUGAUAUGAAAUUGGAAUAGGACGUAUCCCGUAUGCUCCUAGGACACGUCAAGUGAUGUUGUACGGUUGAAAAUAAAAACAUAGACAUAUCUGUAUUUCGACAUAUCAACUUACUUACUCGAUUUAUUUUAUAUGUUUAUUGUGCUUGAAUGUAACUGUUGUUUGCAAUGAACAUGUGAUUUAAACUCCCAUCGUGAAAUGUCAAUGAACAUUUAUUGACAUUACGUUUGGUUCAUUAGAAUGAUACUCGUGAGUGCAGUUAACGCUUUACGUGAUUUGGUGUAAGUUAUUUGAACGCUAUCCGUGAUUGCAAUGAACGCUUGCUGUGAUUUAGUUUUGUCAGUUAUUUGAACGCUAACCUUGAUCAUAACGAAAGGAAAUCGUUAUUUAGUUUGAGAUAU
Molecule: long non-coding RNA, 994 nt
Organism: Dreissena polymorpha
Lineage: Eukaryota; Metazoa; Mollusca; Bivalvia; Myida; Dreissenidae
Exons: 5
Source: RefSeq, a predicted model, not a curated record